GAACGGGUGAGUAACGCGUGAGGAACCUGCCUCAAAGAGGGGGACAACAGUUGGAAACGACUGCUAAUACCGCAUAAGCCCACGGGUCGGCAUCGACCAGAGGGAAAAGGAGCAAUCCGCUUUGAGAUGGCCUCGCGUCCGAUUAGCUAGUUGGUGAGGCAAUGGCCCACCAAGGCGACGAUCGGUAGCUGGACUGAGAGGUUGAACGGCCACAUUGGGACUGAGACACGGCCCAGACUCCUACGGGAGGCAGCAGUGGGGAAUAUUGCACAAUGGGGGAAACCCUGAUGCAGCGACGCCGCGUGGAGGAAGAAGGUCUUCGGAUUGUAAACUCCUGUUGUUGAGGAAGAUAAUGACGGUACUCAACAAGGAAGUGACGGCUAACUACGUGCCAGCAGCCGCGGUAAAACGUAGGUCACAAGCGUUGUCCGGAAUUACUGGGUGUAAAGGGAGCGCAGGCGGGAAGACAAGUUGGAAGUGAAAUCUAUGGGCUCAACCCAUAAACUGCUUUCAAAACUGUUUUUCUUGAGUAGUGCAGAGGUAGGCGGAAUUCCCGGUGUAGCGGUGGAAUGCGUAGAUAUCGGGAGGAACACCAGUGGCGAAGGCGGCCUACUGGGCACCAACUGACGCUGAGGCUCGAAAGUGUGGGUAGCAAACAGGAUUAGAUACCCUGGUAGUCCACACCGUAAACGAUGAUUACUAGGUGU
RNAcentral lists this ribosomal RNA (707 nucleotides) under uncultured bacterium. Its description in RNAcentral is "bacterial SSU rRNA". It matches the Rfam family "Bacterial small subunit ribosomal RNA", at positions 100 to 823 of the family's 1533-position model. The record is from RNAcentral.